This 368-nucleotide ribosomal RNA is filed under the name uncultured eukaryote. RNAcentral describes it as "SSU rRNA". It matches the Rfam family "Eukaryotic small subunit ribosomal RNA", at positions 587 to 972 of the family's 1831-position model. The record is from RNAcentral.
AGCUCCAAUAGCGUAUAUUAAAGUUGUUGCAGUUAAAAAGCUCGUAGUUGAAGUUCUGACUGCUCGGGUCGCGCGCUUUAUAGCAGCGAAACCGACAGUCAUCCGCUUGCAAAUAUAUGUCUGCAUUUAACCGUGUGGCUAUAUGAGCAAGCAUUUUACCUUGAGAAAAACAGAGUGUUCCAGGCAGGCUUGUCCGGAAUGCAUUAGCAUGGAAUAAUAGAAUAUGACUGAAGUCUAUUUAUUGGUUUAAGGCUUUAGUAAUGAUUAAUAGGAACAGUCGGGGGCAUUGGUACUUGACAGUCAGAGGUGAAAUUCUAGGAUUUGUCAAAGACUAACAAAUGCGAAAGCAUUUGCCAAGGAUGUUUUCA